CAUGCAAGUCGAACGGAAACCUUAGGGUUUUAGUGGCGAACGGGUGAGUAACACGUAAGCAACCUGCCUUUAAGACGUGGAUAACAAUUGGAAACAGUUGCUAAGACAGGAUAGGAAAUUAAGAGGCAUCUUUUAAUUUUUAAAAGACCUUUUUCGAAAGGUAUACUUAAAGAGGGGCUUGCGCCACAUUAGUUAGUUGGUAAGGUAAAAGCUUACCAAGACGAUGAUGUGUAGCUGGACUGAGAGGUCGAACAGCCACAUUGGGACUGAGACACGGCCCAAACUCCUACGGGAGGCAGCAGUAAGGAAUUUUUGGCAAUGGAGGAAACUCUGACCGAGCGACGCCGCGUGAACAAUGAAGUACUUCGGUAUGUAAAGUUCUUUUAUUGAAAAAGAAAAAAUAGUGGAAAAACUAUCUUGACAUUAUUCAAUGAAUAAGCCCCGGCUAAUUAUGUGCCAGCAGCCGCGGUAAUACAUAAGGGGCGAGCGUUAUCCGGAAUUAUUGGGCGUAAAGGGUGCGUAGGCGGUUUGAUAAGUCUAUAGUUUAAAUGCAGUGCUUAACGCUGUAGCGCUAUAGAAACUGUCUGACUAGAGUUAGAUAGAGGCAAGCGGAAUUCCAUGUGUAGCGGUAAAAUGCGUAAAUAUAUGGAGGAACACCAGAGGCGUAGGCGGCUUGCUGGGUCUUAACUGACGCUGAGGCACGAAAGCGUGGGGAGCAAACAGGAUUAGAUACCCUGGUAGUCCACGCCGUAAACGAUGAGUACUAAGUGUCGGGUUUCGACUCGGUACUGAAGUUAACACAUUAAGUACUCCGCCUGAGUAGUACGUACGCAAGUAUGAAACUUAAAGGAAUUGACGGGACCCCGCACAAGCGGUGGAUCAUGUUGUUUAAUUCGAAGAUACACGAAAAACCUUACCAGGUCUUGACAUAAUUUUGCGACAUUAUAGAAAUAUAAUGAAGGUUAUCAGAAUUACAGGUGGUGCAUGGUUGUCGUCAGCUCGUGUCGUGAGAUGUUAGGUUAAGUCCUAAAACGAGCGCAACCCUUGUCGUUAGUUGCGACCACGUAAUGGUGAGCACUUUAGCGAGACUGCCAAUGAAAAAUUGGAGGAAGGUGAGGAUUACGUCAAAUCAUCAUGCCCCUUAUGAUCUGGGCUACAAACGUGAUACAAUGGCUGUUACAAAGAGUAGCUGUAACGUGAGUUUAUGGCCAAUCUCAAAAAAACAGUCUCAGUUCGGAUUGAAGUCUGCAACUCGACUUCAUGAAGUUGGAAUCGCUAGUAAUCGCGAAUCAGCAUGUCGCGGUGAAUACGUUCUCGGGGUUUGUACACACCGCCCGUCAAACCACGAAAGUUGAUAAUACCCGAAAGUGGUCGCCUAACUUCGUUAGAAGAGGGAGCCGUCUAAGGUAGGAUCGAUGAUUGGGGUUAAG
Molecule: ribosomal RNA, 1430 nt
Filed under: Brazilian Huanglongbing disease-associated phytoplasma
Lineage: Bacteria; Bacillati; Mycoplasmatota; Mollicutes; Acholeplasmatales; Acholeplasmataceae
Description: bacterial SSU rRNA
Rfam family: Bacterial small subunit ribosomal RNA
Source: RNAcentral